Molecule: ribosomal RNA, 253 nt
Filed under: uncultured bacterium
Lineage: Bacteria
Description: partial 16S ribosomal RNA
Rfam family: Bacterial small subunit ribosomal RNA
Source: RNAcentral
UACGAAGGGUGCUAGCGUUGUUCGGAAUCAUUGGGCGUAAAGCGUGCGUAGGCGGUUUGAUAAGUCAGGGGUGAAAUCCUGGAGCUCAACUCCAGAACUGCCUUUGAUACUGAGAAGCUUGAGUCCGGGAGAGGUGAGUGGAACUGCGAGUGUAGAGGUGAAAUUCGUAGAUAUUCGCAAGAACACCAGUGGCGAAGGCGGCUCACUGGCCCGGUACUGACGCUGAGGCGCGAAAGCGUGGGGAGCGAACAGG